RNAcentral lists this ribosomal RNA (377 nucleotides) under uncultured bacterium. RNAcentral describes it as "bacterial SSU rRNA". It matches the Rfam family "Bacterial small subunit ribosomal RNA", at positions 30 to 410 of the family's 1533-position model. The record is from RNAcentral.
AUUGAACGCUGGCGGCAUGCCUAACACAUGCAAGUCGAACGGUAACAGGCCUUCGGGCGCUGACGAGUGGCGGACGGGUGAGUAAUACGUAGGAAUCUGCCUUUUAGUGGGGGAUAACUCGGAGAAAUCCGGGCUAAUACCGCAUACGCACUACGGUGGAAAGCAGGGGAUCGCAAGACCUUGCGCUAAUAGAUGAGCCUACGUCGGAUUAGCUUGUUGGUAGGGUAAUGGCCACCAAGGCGACGAUCCGUAGCUGGUCUGAGAGGACGACCAGCCACACUGGGACUGAGACACGGCCCAGACUCCUACGGGAGGCAGCAGUGGGGAAUAUUGGACAAUGGGGGCAACCCUGAUCCAGCAAUGCCGCGUGUGUGAAG